This 82-nucleotide small RNA is filed under the name Arabidopsis thaliana (thale cress). RNAcentral describes it as "ATSL270330". The record is from RNAcentral. Lineage: Eukaryota; Viridiplantae; Streptophyta; Magnoliopsida; Brassicales; Brassicaceae.
ACAAAGAUUCAUACGGACUUCGGCUACACUAUCAAAGCUUUGAGAAUCAAGAAGAAGCUUGAUUAGUGUUUUGGAUUCGAUU